GAUGAACGCUGGCGGCGUGCCUAAUACAUGCAAGUCGAGCGAACGGAUGAGAAGCUUGCUUCCCUGAUGUUAGCGGCGGACGGGUGAGUAACACGUGGAUAACCUACCUAUAAGACUGGGGUAACUUCGGGAAACCGGAGCUAAUACCGGAUAAUAUUUUGAACCGCAUGGAUCAAAAGUGAAAGACGGUCUGGCUGUCACUUAUAGAUGGAUCCGCGCUGCAUUAGCUAGUUGGUAAGGUAACGGCUUACCAAGGCAACGAUGCAUAGCCGACCUGAGAGGGUGAUCAGCCACACUGGAACUGAGACACGGUCCAGACUCCUACGGGAGGCAGCAGUAGGGAAUCUUCCGCAAUGGGCGAAAGCCUGACGGAGCAACGCCGCGUGAGUGAUGAAGGUCUUCGGAUCGUAAAACUCUGUUAUUAGGGAAGAACAUAUGUGUAAGUAACUGUGCACAUCUUGACGGUACCUAAUCAGAAAGCCGCGGCUAACUACGUG
This 497-nucleotide ribosomal RNA is filed under the name uncultured bacterium. RNAcentral's name for it is "partial 16S ribosomal RNA". It matches the Rfam family "Bacterial small subunit ribosomal RNA", at positions 28 to 507 of the family's 1533-position model. The record is from RNAcentral.